Molecule: small RNA, 112 nt
Filed under: Serratia marcescens
Lineage: Bacteria; Pseudomonadati; Pseudomonadota; Gammaproteobacteria; Enterobacterales; Yersiniaceae
Description: partial RtT sRNA
Rfam family: RtT RNA
About the family: This family represents a bacterial cis-regulatory element known as RtT RNA. The exact function of RtT is unknown although it is thought that it may be involved in changing the cellular response in relation to amino acid starvation.
Source: RNAcentral
AGGAUGAGCACCUCCGCAGGAGGUUCGAGCCUCGCGAAGCGAGACAACGUUGCUUUAGCAACGGCCCGCAGGGCGCGCAUCAACGAUGCGCGUAAUCCUCUCUCGCCGACCA